UCUACAAUCAUAUCGUGUAACUGCUCUCAUCAGAGGGUAUGCCCUCAUUCACAGGGAACGGUCCUCUCACGUCUUUUCAUACUAGAUGGGGGAGAAAUAAAAUCCCUCAAAGAUAAAAUACCUAACGGAUCAUAUUAAUUAAAAUGUCAUGCAUACAUACUAAAUUGUUCAUUUCACAUGCUUGUCAAAUAAUAUCACGC
RNAcentral lists this long non-coding RNA (200 nucleotides) under Carica papaya (papaya). Its description in RNAcentral is "long non-coding RNA (CPAP_LNC007035)". Lineage: Eukaryota; Viridiplantae; Streptophyta; Magnoliopsida; Brassicales; Caricaceae. The record is from RNAcentral.